UGGGGUGUGGCUCAGGGGUAGAGCUCUUGCCUAGCAUGUACGAGGCCCUGGGUUUGAUUCUCAGCACCACAU
This 72-nucleotide transfer RNA is filed under the name Ictidomys tridecemlineatus (thirteen-lined ground squirrel). RNAcentral's name for it is "Spermophilus tridecemlineatus (thirteen-lined ground squirrel) tRNA". It matches the Rfam family "tRNA". Rfam says of the family: Transfer RNA (tRNA) molecules are approximately 80 nucleotides in length. Their secondary structure includes four short double-helical elements and three loops (D, anti-codon, and T loops). The record is from Rfam by way of RNAcentral. Lineage: Eukaryota; Metazoa; Chordata; Mammalia; Rodentia; Sciuridae.